Molecule: ribosomal RNA, 465 nt
Filed under: Vreelandella stevensii
Lineage: Bacteria; Pseudomonadati; Pseudomonadota; Gammaproteobacteria; Oceanospirillales; Halomonadaceae
Description: partial 16S ribosomal RNA
Rfam family: Bacterial small subunit ribosomal RNA
Source: RNAcentral
CCUACGGGUGGCUGCAGUGGGGAAUAUUGGACAAUGGGGGCAACCCUGAUCCAGCCAUGCCGCGUGUGUGAAGAAGGCCCUCGGGUUGUAAAGCACUUUCAGUGAGGAAGAACGCCUGGUGGUUAAUACCCAUCAGGAAAGACAUCACUCACAGAAGAAGCACCGGCUAACUCCGUGCCAGCAGCCGCGGUAAUACGGAGGGUGCGAGCGUUAAUCGGAAUUACUGGGCGUAAAGCGCGCGUAGGUGGCUUGAUAAGCCGGUUGUGAAAGCCCCGGGCUCAACCUGGGAACGGCAUCCGGAACUGUCAAGCUAGAGUGCAGGAGAGGAAGGUAGAAUUCCCGGUGUAGCGGUGAAAUGCGUAGAGAUCGGGAAGAAUACCAGUGGCGAAGGCGGCCUUCUGGACUGACACUGACACUGAGGUGCGAAAGCGUGGGUAGCAAACAGGAUUAGAUAUCCCAGUAGUC